GUACAAGGACGCUUCAACCGAGUCGGGUAGCUUGGGAAUGCUGCUCUAAUUGGUGGUAAAUCUCAUCAAAGGCUAAAUAGUGGUGGGAGACCGAUAGCGAACAAGUACCGUGAGGGAAAGAUGGAAAGAACUUUGAAAAGAGAGUGAAAAGCACUUGAAACCGUCACGGGGGAAGCGGAUUGCGUGAGUGAUGGUGUCGCUUGUUCAGCGCUUUAUUGCGUGCAUUCUGGCGGCGCCGUGCCGGCGUGGCUGGCUGGACUGUGAUUUUGACAGUCUCGGCUGGUGAGGGCUCCCUCGUAUGAGGUGAGGACGCGGGCAAAAUGACGCAAUACGACCCGUCUUGAAACACGGACCAAGGAGUCUAGCACGGCUGCGAGUCGAAGAGUGAUUAAACUCAAGGGCGCAGUGAAAGCGAAAUUAUAAGCAAAUUGGGGAGGCGUUGCGUUUUUAACAAAAUGUCCUACCUCGAGCAUUUGUGCUGGGACCCGAAAGAUGGUGAACUAUGCCGGAGUAGGGCAAAGCCAGAGGAAACUCUGGUGGAGGCUCGUAGCGAUGCUGACGUGCAAAUCGCUCGUCGAACUUGGGUAUAGGGGCGAAAGACUAAUCGAACCAUCUAGUAGCUGGUUCCCUCCGAAGUUUCUCUCAGGAUAGCGGGCCGACACGCGUUUGUUGUUUUGUGCGGUAAAGCGAAUGAUUAGUGCAUUUGGGGUACGAAGUACUUCGGGCGAUUCUCAAACUUUAAAUGCGCAAGGGGGUGGCUGCUUAAUUGAGCCUACUCUUUGAAAAACGUCGGCCCUGUGGGCCACUUUUGGUAAGCAGAACUGGCGAUAAGGGAUGAACCUUAAGCGCGGUUAAGGCGCCUCAUUACCCGCUUAU
This 876-nucleotide ribosomal RNA is filed under the name Palmaria palmata (dulse). RNAcentral's name for it is "eukaryotic LSU rRNA". It matches the Rfam family "Eukaryotic large subunit ribosomal RNA", at positions 243 to 1204 of the family's 3401-position model. Lineage: Eukaryota; Rhodophyta; Florideophyceae; Palmariales; Palmariaceae. The record is from RNAcentral.